Molecule: ribosomal RNA, 443 nt
Filed under: uncultured bacterium
Lineage: Bacteria
Description: partial 16S ribosomal RNA
Rfam family: Bacterial small subunit ribosomal RNA
Source: RNAcentral
CCUACGGGAGGCUGCAGUGGGGAAUAUUGGGCAAUGGGCGCAAGCCUGACCCAGCAACGCCGCGUGAAGGAAGAAGGCUUUCGGGUUGUAAACUUCUUUUGUCAGGGACAAAGCAAGUGACGGUACCUGACGAAUAAGCCACGGCUAACUACGUGCCAGCAGCCGCGGUAAUCCGGAGGUGGCAAGCGUUCUCCGGAUUUACUGGGUUUAAAGGGCGUGUAGGCGGGACUGCAAGUCAGAUGGGAAAACCACGGGCUCAACCUGUGGCCUGCAUUUGAAACUGUAGUUCUUGAGUACUGGAGAGGCAGACGGAAUUCGUGGUGUAGCGGUGAAAUGCGUAGAUAUUAGGAGGAACACCAGUGGCGAAGGCGGUCUGCUGGACAGCAACUGACGCUGAGGCGCGAAAGCGUGGGGAGCAAACAGGAUUAGAUACCCUAGUAGUC